AGUGAACGCUGGCGGUAGGCCUAACACAUGCAAGUCGAACGGCAGCACAGGAGAGCUUGCUCUCUAGGUGGCGAGUGGCGGACGGGUGAGGAAUACAUCGGAAUCUGCCCAGUCGUGGGGGAUAACGUAGGGAAACUUACGCUAAUACCGCAUACGACCUUCGGGUGAAAGAGGGGGACCGCAAGACCUCUCGCGAUUGGAUGAGCCGAUGUCGGAUUAGCUAGUUAGCGGGGUAAUGGCCCACCAAGGCGACGAUCCGUAGCUGGUCUGAGAGGAUGAUCAGCCACACUGGAACUGAGACACGGUCCAGACUCCUACGGGAGGCAGCAGUGGGGAAUAUUGGACAAUGGGCGCAAGCCUGAUCCGGCCAUACCGCGUGGGUGAAGAAGGCCUUCGGGUUGUAAAGCCCUUUUGUUGGGAAAGAAAUCUUUCAGGCUAAUACCCUGGGAGGAUGACGGUACCCAAAGAAUAAGCACCGGCUAACUUCGUG
This 490-nucleotide ribosomal RNA is filed under the name uncultured bacterium. RNAcentral describes it as "partial 16S ribosomal RNA". It matches the Rfam family "Bacterial small subunit ribosomal RNA", at positions 29 to 507 of the family's 1533-position model. The record is from RNAcentral.